Molecule: ribosomal RNA, 1363 nt
Filed under: Salmonella enterica subsp. salamae
Lineage: Bacteria; Pseudomonadati; Pseudomonadota; Gammaproteobacteria; Enterobacterales; Enterobacteriaceae
Description: partial 23S ribosomal RNA
Rfam family: Bacterial large subunit ribosomal RNA
Source: RNAcentral
GAAUGCUGACAUAAGUAACGAUAAAGCGGGUGAAAAGCCCGCUCGCCGGAAGACCAAGGGUUCCUGUCCAACGUUAAUCGGGGCAGGGUGAGUCGACCCCUAAGGCGAGGCCGAAAGGCGUAGUCGAUGGGAAACGGGUUAAUAUUCCCGUACUUGGUGUUACUGCGAAGGGGGGACGGAGAAGGCUAUGUUGGCCGGGCGACGGUUGUCCCGGUUUAAGCGUGUAGGCUGACUUUCCAGGCAAAUCCGGAGAGUCAAGGCUGAGGCGUGACGACGAGGCACUACGGUGCUGAAGCAACAAAUGCCCUGCUUCCAGGAAAAGCCUCUAAGCAUCAGGUAACAUCAAAUCGUACCCCAAACCGACACAGGUGGUCAGGUAGAGAAUACCAAGGCGCUUGAGAGAACUCGGGUGAAGGAACUAGGCAAAAUGGUGCCGUAACUUCGGGAGAAGGCACGCUGACAUGUAGGUGAAGUGAUUUACUCAUGGAGCUGAAGUCAGUCGAAGAUACCAGCUGGCUGCAACUGUUUAUUAAAAACACAGCACUGUGCAAACACGAAAGUGGACGUAUACGGUGUGACGCCUGCCCGGUGCCGGAAGGUUAAUUGAUGGGGUCAGCGCAAGCGAAGCUCCUGAUCGAAGCCCCGGUAAACGGCGGCCGUAACUAUAACGGUCCUAAGGUAGCGAAAUUCCUUGUCGGGUAAGUUCCGACCUGCACGAAUGGCGUAAUGAUGGCCAGGCUGUCUCCACCCGAGACUCAGUGAAAUUGAACUCGCUGUGAAGAUGCAGUGUACCCGCGGCAAGACGGAAAGACCCCGUGAACCUUUACUAUAGCUUGACACUGAACAUUGAGCCUUGAUGUGUAGGAUAGGUGGGAGGCUUUGAAGCGUGGACGCCAGUCUGCGUGGAGCCAACCUUGAAAUACCACCCUUUAAUGUUUGAUGUUCUAACGUGGACCCGUUACCCGGGUUGCGGACAGUGUCUGGUGGGUAGUUUGACUGGGGCGGUCUCCUCCUAAAGAGUAACGGAGGAGCACGAAGGUUGGCUAAUCCUGGUCGGACAUCAGGAGGUUAGUGCAAUGGCAUAAGCCAGCUUGACUGCGAGCGUGACGGCGCGAGCAGGUGCGAAAGCAGGUCAUAGUGAUCCGGUGGUUCUGAAUGGAAGGGCCAUCGCUCAACGGAUAAAAGGUACUCCGGGGAUAACAGGCUGAUACCGCCCAAGAGUUCAUAUCGACGGCGGUGUUUGGCACCUCGAUGUCGGCUCAUCACAUCCUGGGGCUGAAGUAGGUCCCAAGGGUAUGGCUGUUCGCCAUUUAAAGUGGUACGCGAGCUGGGUUUAGAACGUCGUGAGACAGUUCGGUCCCUA